GGCAGCAAGCACCAAAGACGAAGAAGUACGUAGCCACAAAAGUGAACUUAAUAAAUUAUUUAUUGUAGAUAUUAUCACGACCUUUGGGACACACUCUACAAGUGGGCCCAGAAGAUCGUAACAUUUUUAAACAAUCCAUUUUUUCUUGUAAUGUUUGGGUUAAGUGUCCCCAAGACGCACUCAAAGUCUUUAACGAUAUUGGAAGUAGCUUAUACGAUGUGCUUAUUGUGUAAUUUUACGUUGUACUCAUAGCUUAAUUACUUUAAUUGAUGAAGUUUUCCCAGACUUGAUGAUAUUCUGGACGGAACGAUACUUCGUAGAGGACUUCCUUCAGCCCAUAUGGUUUAUGGAAUUUCACUAACAGUUCAUGCUACAGUCCACAAGAUGUUUCUAAUAAUGCAAAAUGUACUCUGUUAUGCAGAAAACAGGAAGGUAAUGUUUUUAUGCUGUCUGUGUUUUUAACGUAUUGAUCUAGGACAUCGCUCUUGAUGACUUUGCUACGUUGGGUAUUCGAUUUUUCACUGGGCAAGGACUAGAAAUCCACUAUAGAGACUCUCAAAGGUGUCCUAGUUUCUGCGAUUUCAAAGUACUAGUUCGUGCUAAAUGUACCAGUUCCUUCAAAUGGGGAGUCCAGUGGUUGAAACUGUGUGCCAAGAACGAUACAAUCGAACUGAGUGUCGAUCUUUGCGACAAAAUAGGUGAAUUUCUUCAGAUAUACGACGACUAUAUAAAUUUGCACAGUACUAAGUACGCAACCGUUCGGGUUCUCUGUGACGAUCUUGAUGAAGGAAAAUUCAACUUUCCUAUGAUUCAUGCUAUUCAAAGUCAUCCGAAC
Molecule: long non-coding RNA, 835 nt
Organism: Zophobas morio
Lineage: Eukaryota; Metazoa; Arthropoda; Insecta; Coleoptera; Tenebrionidae
Exons: 3
Source: RefSeq, a predicted model, not a curated record